AUACGUAGGUGGCGAGCGUUGUCCGGAAUUACUGGGCGUAAAGGAUGCGUAGGUGGAUAUUUAAGUGGGAUGUGAAAUCCCCGGGCUCAACCCGGGAACUGCAUUCCAAACUGGGUAUCUAGAGUGCAGGAGAAGAAAGCGGAAUUCCUAGUGUAGCGGUGAAAUGCGUAGAUAUUAGGAGGAACACCAGUGGCGAAGGCGGCUUUCUGGACGGAAACUGACACUGAGGCAUGAAAGCGUGGGUAGCAAACAGGAUUAGAUACCCUGGUAGUCCACGCCGUAAACGAUGGGUACAAGGUGUAGGAGGUAUCGACCCCUUCUGUGCCGUCUUUAACACAAUAAGUACCCCGCCUGGGGAGUACGGUCGCAAGACUAAAACUCAAAUGAAUUGACGGGG
RNAcentral lists this ribosomal RNA (397 nucleotides) under uncultured bacterium. RNAcentral's name for it is "partial 16S ribosomal RNA". It matches the Rfam family "Bacterial small subunit ribosomal RNA", at positions 523 to 918 of the family's 1533-position model. The record is from RNAcentral.